UCCCUUUCAAAAUGGCUGCUGGCAUUCGACGAGGACGAGCGACCAACAACCGCGUAACAACUAACAAGUGAAUGCCAAGCAAAGUAACGCCUUCUUUUGGAGAAACUGUUUGUCUGUUCGAGAAUUAUUUCUUCCCUGGAUUUAUUCGUCUCAAAAAUGAUAACAUAGCCUACAAUUUAUAUUUGGCAAUUUCAUCUGAUCAUAUGGCAUUUUCCCAAAAUGUCGUCUCUUGUUGUCCGUACCGGCUGUACGUUUCGUCACAUGCAGUGAUACAGAAAUACUUCAGAACAAUAAAAGUGAUUAUGUUGGUCAACUUUUUAACUCAUGGUGAAAUCUGAGCUUCUUCAUUGCAGUCCAAUGUGCACAUGGAUUUGUUGCAGCUAGCUGGUGAAACCGCGAAAGGUGUUCCUCUUGCAGUUGCAGGCUUGCUACCUGUACCAGUUGUAGCUUUCGUUACAGGCAUUGAAGUAAUUAUGUUGGAAAACUUUUUUAAAGUUUAUGUAAUUGCUGUUGCAACUAACAAGCAACAGCCUAUAAUUUCUACAUGGCAAUUUCAUCUGAUCAUGUGGCCUGAGCAGCUGAACAUUCUGCCAAAAUGUCGUCUCUUUUUCCUGUACCAGCUUCACGUUUGUCAGAAACACUUCAGAACAAUUCAGGAUUAACACCCUGGUGGAGUUUGAGCUUCUUUGUUGCUGCCCAACUUACACAUGGAUUUGACGCAGCCAGCUGAGGGCUUUAACUCCUGUUUGGCAUUUUUGUUCGCGUAGUUGCAGUCCGAUGUAGCACGUUGUUGCAGCCUAUGCUGGUGAAAGAGCUUUCUACAUCAAAUUCAAUUAGCCGUUCCUUGGUGCUGGUUUCGUGUUACCGAAAUUGCAUCAUUAUAUUGUUAAAUUGUCAUCGUGACUAUGCAGUUUACCGUUAAUAAGUUCAGAAGCAACAAAAACAAAUAUGGGAUGUUUAUAUGUCAACAAAUAAUAAACAUGUUUCCGGGAUUGGGAAAGGAAAG
This 1006-nucleotide long non-coding RNA is filed under the name Daphnia pulex (common water flea). Its description in RNAcentral is "uncharacterized LOC124196376, transcript variant X5". Lineage: Eukaryota; Metazoa; Arthropoda; Branchiopoda; Diplostraca; Daphniidae. The record is from RNAcentral.